Molecule: long non-coding RNA, 1764 nt
Organism: Populus euphratica (Euphrates poplar)
Lineage: Eukaryota; Viridiplantae; Streptophyta; Magnoliopsida; Malpighiales; Salicaceae
Exons: 2
Source: RefSeq, a predicted model, not a curated record
UCACUUCAAGAUGACAUUCUAACUUAGAAAAUUCAAUACAUUACCACAAAUGUGGAUACUUUGGCAAAACCUUACAAAAAUAGAAUGCGAACCAAAUUCUCAAUAUGACUAUAGGACUUAAUAUGUGACUUAUGAGCACUUACACAAGAAAACAAUUAAAGAAAAAAGAAAGGAAAGUAUAACGCUUUUAUGGAAUCAUAAACAUACUUUCAAGCAAGAAAAAGGAAAACCAACGGACGUGAAAGCAUCACUUGAUUAAGAGAACCUUGCCCUUGUUAUAUAUUUGAAAUGAAUAAAAAAAUAAUACUUUCUUUAAUGAUCAAGGUAUUUUUGGGGAUGGUUUUCAUGCAACAAGAUUAGGUUUUCUUCAGGAGGGAUAGUGUCCAAAUUCAAACUUGUACGUUUUUAAUCUAUAAAUUCCACUUCAAACAGAUAAAUACAAUUAAAUCAAAGAGAUUAAAACGGCUUAAAGCCAGAAACCAGGGUAUAUUAUCCAAUCUUCAGUAAUAAAUUCAAUUAAAAAAUUACUAAACAACUAACGUGCUAAUCUUCUUUCAAAAGAAUUUGAAACGUUCAUGUACGUACAUAUUUAUUAGGAACAUUCGCACUUGAGCAGCCUCUAAGACUAUUAUUGCGAAAGAAGUUUAUCCAUGAUACCCUUAGGUCCUUCUUUCCCUAAGCACACUAGAGGGACAUAUACCGUCAAUUUCUUAAGACAGACUGCAGUUGAAAAAUUUCCUCGACAAUCCCUGGAUAGUUUAUUUCAAGCUAAACUAGAAAAACUUAACUUCAACAUACAUCCAAGUUGAUUCAAGAAUUGAACCUUAUUGACAAUAAAAUCUAAAUACGCUGUUUCUUCCAUCAACAACUACUGUAAGGGAUGCUACCUCUUUGUUUUGAACUGACAAGAGAUGCUACUUCAUGUAUAUAACAGAUCACGAAUUGUUAUUACAAGGGAUCCUAACCUCUUCUGUUUUUUUAAUGGACAAGAGAUCCUACCACAUAUAACAGGUGUUUGCAUGCAUCAUAAUUAUUGCAUGAUAUUUUUUUUCUUUUUUCUAUGACUAAUCGAUAAUUAGUUUUCAACUUGGCAUAGGCUUUGUUCCGCUAAUCUAAUUACCGAAAUAAUACCUCUUUGUACGCUUUUUUUUUUCUAUUUUUUUUUUUUUUUGUAACUUGAAAACUUAUAGGAUAUAAGGGUACAAGUUGAUCUACGAACUCAUAGUCUUUGCUCACUUUGUUAGUAAUGAAGUGAAACUGCUAAAGUGUUUUACUCCUUAGGCAGUGUACCCAAAUCUGAUCAACAGGAAAGCCUACAAUCAUAAUACUAUCUCUAUAAGUAUACCAAAACACUCAACCCUGAGUUGGGCUCCUAGACCGUCAUCUGCACAAUUCAGAUUUAUUUGAGGCCAAUAUGCGCGAUAAGUGGAGUUUAUAAUACGGAUUUUCACCUCUAUAUCGUACACAAAAACUUCAAAUCCCAGAGAGAAAAAUAAUUAGAAAGGAAAAAGGCAUGAGAAAAGGAAUCACUGGGAUCGUAGUAGAGGAUAACAAGACAAUCCCAAAGUCCUGCAAGGAUCAAGGUCUGUGCUACUAUGUGUACACGUGUCUGACCUGUUUAUUUCUGAGAGAGAGGCACACUAAUGAGAUCUUGCAUAGAACCCUAGGGUGCAGGAACCAUACCCGCAUGGUACAUGAAAAUGAAAAGGAAAAACAAUGCAGGAACUCAAAAGCUUCCAUGGAAAGAGGAGGGUGGUUUGAUAA